RNAcentral lists this ribosomal RNA (357 nucleotides) under uncultured bacterium. RNAcentral describes it as "bacterial SSU rRNA". It matches the Rfam family "Bacterial small subunit ribosomal RNA", at positions 8 to 349 of the family's 1533-position model. The record is from RNAcentral.
AGAGUUUGAUCCUGGCUCAGGAUGAACGCUAGCUACAGGCUUAACACAUGCAAGUCGAGGGGAAACGACAUCGAAAGCUUGCUUUUGAUGGGCGUCGACCGGCGCACGGGUGAGUAACGCGUAUCCAACCUGCCCACCACUUGGGGAUAACCUUGCGAAAGUAAGACUAAUACCCAAUGACGUCUCUAGAAGACAUCUGAAGGAGAUUAAAGAUUUAUCGGUGAUGGAUGGGGAUGCGUCUGAUUAGCUUGGUUGGCGGGGUAACGGCCACCGAAGGCGACGAUCAGGUAGGGGUUCUGGAGAGGAACGGUCCCCCACAUUGGAACUGAGACACGGUCCAAACUCCGUACGGGAGCA